AGCGAACGCUGGCGGCAGGCCUAACACAUGCAAGUCGAACGGAUCCUUCGGGAUUAGUGGCGGACGGGUGAGUAACACGUGGGAACGUGCCCUUUGGUUCGGAACAACUCAGGGAAACUUGAGCUAAUACCGGAUGUGCCCUUCGGGGGAAAGAUUUAUCGCCAUUGGAGCGGCCCGCGUCUGAUUAGCUAGUUGGUGAGGUAAAGGCUAACCAAGGCGAAGAUCAGUAGCUGGUCUGAGAGGAUGAUCAGCCACAUUGGGACUGAGACACGGCCCAAACUCCUACGGGAGGCAGCAGUGGGGAAUCUUGCGCAAUGGGCGAAAGCCUGACGCAGCCAUGCCACGUGAAUGAUGAAGGUCUUAGGAUUGUAAAAUUCUUUCACCGGGGACGAUAAUGACGGUACCCGGAGAAGAAGCCCCGGCUAACUUCGUGCCAGCAGCCGCCGUAA
Molecule: ribosomal RNA, 449 nt
Filed under: uncultured bacterium
Lineage: Bacteria
Description: partial 16S ribosomal RNA
Rfam family: Bacterial small subunit ribosomal RNA
Source: RNAcentral